Molecule: small nucleolar RNA, 129 nt
Organism: Humulus lupulus (European hop)
Lineage: Eukaryota; Viridiplantae; Streptophyta; Magnoliopsida; Rosales; Cannabaceae
Source: RefSeq, a predicted model, not a curated record
AUCCCGGAUAAAAUUCCAUGUUUUAUCUGUUUCAUGGAAGGCAAAAAUUGACCAGGAAAGUUUUGCUGAUAAGCACCUUUUUUUCUCUAUAUUUAAUAGAGGUGUUUAAUAGUAGUUUUCCAUACAUGU